Xyrichtys novacula (pearly razorfish) is the source of this 575-nucleotide non-coding RNA. NCBI's taxonomy places the organism in Eukaryota, Metazoa, Chordata, Actinopteri, Labriformes, Labridae. The record is from the annotation of a GenBank genome assembly.
CCAACGGAAAGAAGGCAGAGGCCCGAAAAACGGGUGGAUGGCCACCUCCACGACCUCUGACAGAGGCUGAGGAGCUGGCCCUCUGCCAAAACAGGGGUCGCCCUGUGGCUGAAGGCAUCCCCGGGGGAAGCUCAUCUGAGCCUGUCACCCCCCAGGACACAAGUCCCUACAUCAGAUGCAAGUAUACACUUAUGUCUUUUAAAAAAAUAAAACUAAUAUAUAAAUAUAUAUAGCCUAAUUUUUAACAAAUAUAUAUCCACCCACCCAACAGUUGUGGAUGGUGUCAUCUGCCUGGUUCAGCCUCCGACAGAAACAAACCCUGUAGCUGUAAGUCUUCCAUACUCAGAUGCCUCAGAUGGUAGUUCAUAGUAUUCUGAAACAGUAUAUUUUCCUGCAUUACAGGAGGAGGAGGAGGAGGAUGAAGAAACACUGUCUGCUGCCACAGGGAGAGAUCCAGAGGGUCCUCCUGAAGUGUGUCUUAAUAUAUAGCUACUGGCAGUGCCCAUUCAUUUACAUUCUAGAGUGGAAUUUGGAGUUUGACAUGUACACUGAAUAGAUGAGCAUCAAUAAUGGAC